GAUGAAGAACGCAGCGAAAUGCGAUAAGUAGUGUGAAUUGCAGAAUUCAGUGAAUCAUCGAAUCUUUGAACGCACAUUGCGCCCUUUGGUAUUCCAAAGGGCAUGCCUGUUCGAGCGUCAUUUGUACCCUCAAGCUUUGCUUGGUGUUGGGCGUCUUGUCUCUAGCUUUGCUGGAGACUCGCCUUAAAGUAAUUGGCAGCCGGCCUACUGGUUUCGGAGCGCAGCACAAGUCGCACUCUCUAUCAGCAAAGGUCUAGCAUCCAUUAAGCCUUUUUUUAAACUUUUGACCUCGGAUCAGGUAGGGAUACCCGCUGAACUUAAGCAUAUCAAUAAGCGGAGGA
Molecule: unclassified non-coding RNA, 341 nt
Filed under: soil metagenome
Description: partial contains 5.8S ribosomal RNA, internal transcribed spacer 2, and large subunit ribosomal RNA
Rfam family: 5.8S ribosomal RNA (bases 1-120)
Source: RNAcentral